GAUGAACGCUAGCUACAGGCUUAACACAUGCAAGUCGAGGGGCAGCGGGCAGAAAGCUUGCUUUCUGUGCCGGCGACCGGCGCACGGGUGCGUAACGCGUAUCGAACCUACCACAUACUCAGGGAUAGCCUUGCGAAAGUAAGAUUAAUACCUGAUGUUAUUAAACGAUCGCAUGAUUGUUUAAUCAAAGAUUUAUUGGUAUGUGAUGGCGAUGCGUCUGAUUAGGUAGUAGGCGGGGUAACGGCCCACCUAGCCAUCGAUCAGUAGGGGUUCUGAGAGGAAGGUCCCCCACAUUGGAACUGAGACACGGUCCAAACUCCUACGGGAGGCAGCAGUGAGGAAUAUUGGUCAAUGGACGGAAGUCUGAACCAGCCAAGUAGCGUGCAGGAUGACGGCCCUCCGGGUUGUAAACUGCUUUAGUUCGGGAAUAACGACGGGGACGUGUCCCCGGAAAGAAUGUACCGAAAGAAUAAGGACCGGCUAAUUCCGUGCCAGCAGCCGCGGUAAUACGGAAGGUCCGGGCGUUAUCCGGAUUUAUUGGGUUUAAAGGGAGCGUAGGCGGACUGUUAAGUCAGCGGUUAAAGAGUGUGGCUCAACCAUACGAUGCCGUUGAAACUGGUGGUCUUGAGUGCACACAGGGAUGCUGGAACUCGUGGUGUAGCGGUGAAAUGCUUAGAUAUCACGAUGAACUCCGAUCGCGAAGGCAGGUGUCCGGGGUGUAACUGACGCUGAGGCUCGAAAGUGUGGGUAUCAAACAGG
RNAcentral lists this ribosomal RNA (759 nucleotides) under uncultured Prevotella sp. RNAcentral describes it as "bacterial SSU rRNA". It matches the Rfam family "Bacterial small subunit ribosomal RNA", at positions 28 to 776 of the family's 1533-position model. The record is from RNAcentral. Lineage: Bacteria; Pseudomonadati; Bacteroidota; Bacteroidia; Bacteroidales; Prevotellaceae.